GCAGUAGCCACGGUAACACGGAGGGUGCAAGCGUUAAUCGGAAUUACUGGGCGUAAAGCGCACGCAGGCGGUUUGUUAAGUCAGAUGUGAAAUCCCCGAGCUUAACUUGGGAACUGCAUUUGAAACUGGCAAGCUAGAGUCUUGUAGAGGGGGGUAGAAUUCCAGGUGUAGCGGUGAAAUGCGUAGAGAUCUGGAGGAAUACCGGUGGUGAAGGCGGCCCCCUGGACAAAGACUGACGCUCAGGUGCGAAAGCGUGGGGAGCAAACAGGAUUAGAUACCCGCGUAGUCCCUGUCUCUUAUAU
Molecule: ribosomal RNA, 302 nt
Filed under: uncultured bacterium
Lineage: Bacteria
Description: partial 16S ribosomal RNA
Rfam family: Bacterial small subunit ribosomal RNA
Source: RNAcentral